RNAcentral lists this ribosomal RNA (129 nucleotides) under Phycisphaerales bacterium. Its description in RNAcentral is "partial 16S ribosomal RNA". It matches the Rfam family "Bacterial small subunit ribosomal RNA", at positions 1 to 129 of the family's 1533-position model. The record is from RNAcentral. Lineage: Bacteria; Pseudomonadati; Planctomycetota; Phycisphaerae; Phycisphaerales.
CAAUUGAAGAGUUUGAUCCUGGCUCAGAUUGAACGCUGGCGGCAUGGCUAAAACAUGCAAGUCGAACGAUUAAAGCUUCUUCGGAAGUGCAUAAAGUGGCGUAAGGGCGAGGAAUAUAUUUCUAUGUAC